CUGAAGGGCGCGUCCGGGUCAAUUGCGGACUGCAACACCCGAUCUCCCUCAAUGUCCCUCCGAAAAUGGAGGUCGACGAGGGGGAGCGCGUGACCGUCAG
This 100-nucleotide non-coding RNA is filed under the name Natrinema salifodinae. RNAcentral's name for it is "L4-Archaeoglobi ribosomal protein leader". It matches the Rfam family "L4-Archaeoglobi ribosomal protein leades". Lineage: Archaea; Methanobacteriati; Methanobacteriota; Halobacteria; Halobacteriales; Natrialbaceae. The record is from RNAcentral.